UACGUAGGGUGCGAGCGUUAAUCGGAAUCACUGGGCGUAAAGCGCACGUAGGCGGAUUCCUAAGUCGGGGGUGAAAUCCUGGAGCUCAACUCCAGAACUGCCUUCGAUACUGGGAAUCUUGAGUCCGGAAGAGGUGAGUGGAACUGCGAGUGUAGAGGUGAAAUUCGUAGAUAUUCGCAAGAACACCAGUGGCGAAGGCGGCUCACUGGUCCGGUACUGACGCUGAGGUGCGAAAGCGUGGGGAGCAAACAGG
Molecule: ribosomal RNA, 253 nt
Filed under: uncultured bacterium
Lineage: Bacteria
Description: partial 16S ribosomal RNA
Rfam family: Bacterial small subunit ribosomal RNA
Source: RNAcentral